GAAGUCGUGGCCGAGUGGUUAAGGCGAUGGACUAGAAAUUAAUUAGGGUCUCCUCGCACAGGUUCGAAUCCUUUCGACUGCG
Molecule: non-coding RNA, 82 nt
Organism: Ixodes scapularis (black-legged tick)
Lineage: Eukaryota; Metazoa; Arthropoda; Arachnida; Ixodida; Ixodidae
Source: Rfam